RNAcentral lists this long non-coding RNA (2500 nucleotides) under Mytilus galloprovincialis (Mediterranean mussel). The record is from RNAcentral. Lineage: Eukaryota; Metazoa; Mollusca; Bivalvia; Mytilida; Mytilidae.
UAAACCUGUAUUUAUCAAAGCAUUAUUUUUGCAAUAUACACAUUUAGAAUCUCACCAUAAUGUUAUUUUUUACAACUUUUGUUUUUACCAUAUCAGACAGUAUUUUUGUACUUUUAUUCCAUUGUCUAAGUGUUGUGUUGUACAUAUGUAGUGCAAUUAUUCCAUUGGGACACGACCAAUAGUAAAAGUCAAAAUCUGAUCGUCAGAUUUGUGCAUUUUCCCCCCCCAAAAAAAUGAAAUUACAAAUAUCGUAUUCAUAUGACUGAUAUAAAUGAGCUGCGUAGAAAGCUCCCUUAUGAAAAUAAACAUCAACUUAAAGACAUUUGUUCACCUUUUUCAGGUCGAAAACCUCUGUACCAAAAGUCUGUAAUGGUUUGAAAAUUGGUUUGUUAUAAGUACCCUUCAAAACUGACCAUAAUUCAUCUUUUACUUUGUACAAUUGUAUUUGAAUGUUCAAAAAUCAACCAAAGGCUUAUGCAUGUACAUGUAUAGGUGCAACUGUAUACGGUCGAUUUCUAUAUCCGACACAGCACAAAUCAAUGUCCUUUGAGGUUAGUUUUUCCCCCAGAAUGACCCCAUGGCAAUAAUGGUAUUUCAGUUGUGGAUCUAGAAAUUUUCAUAAGAGGGGGGCGAUUCCAUCACGCUUCAGUGAUUCCCUAUAUAACCAACCAAAAUUUUUCUGAAAAAGGGGGGCCCGGGCCCUCUGCCCCCCCUAAAUCCGCCUCUGUAUUUCAUAUAAUUGAAAUUGCAAAUUGUCUAUUCUUUAGUUUUACAAUGUUUUAUCAAUCUUAAAAGUUUUCCCAUUAAGCAGGUACCAAAUUUCAUGCAGUUCUGGCUGAAAAAUGGCUGACAUUGGGAUGUCUUUACAUCCGAAUGAUUUGGUGUGAAAUAAAAUUGGACCUGACUCACUUUCCCCCAAAAAAUACUGUAAUCUUGUGUAAACAUUUCCCUACCCUACGACCCAACAGUCUCUAUCUUAAUAUUUAUUUCAAAACUAUAAAGACCGUACAUUGACCUAUAAUGGUUUACUUUUAUAAAUUGUUAUUUGGAUGGAGAGUUGUCUCAUUGGCACUCAUACCACAUUUUCCUAUAUCUAUAUACAAUAUUUUGAGGAUUAUGUAUGUUCCUGAUAUAUUGAUCAUUGGCUAAGUUUUUACUAUGCUUUUGUCCCAAUGGAAUAUUUUUUUAUAAUUGCAAUAUAAACUGUAACUUGGUAGUGAUUUUUUGCUUAUACUAUUAUUUUAGAGAUAUUUUAGAACUUUUUUUGUUAUUUAUUCCAUUACAAUAAGUGCUAUUGUUGUUAUUAAUAUUUUAUUUACAAAAUAUGUAUGUUUGUUGUAUGUCUUGUAUUUGAUUGUUAACAUCUCAUGAGUUAUCUCCCAUUAAUAGAGAAAGUGGAUAGUUAUCUCCCAUUAACAGAGAUAGUAGAUAGUUAUCUCCCAUUGAUAGAGAAAGUAGAGAGUUAUCUCCCAUUGAUAGAGAGAGAAGAGAGUUAUCUCCCAUUUAUAGAGGAAAUAGAGUGCUAAAGAUUUUGAAUUUAUGAUAUCAAGCAGUCAAGUUUAUUUAGAAAAAAAAUGUUUAUAAGUCAAAGAAAAUUAUCUUGAUUUAAAGAGCCAAUGUUGUUAAACUGACACUUACAUUACAUAUGGCAUAAGAUUAAAGUGCCAAGGAUGUAUAUCAAAAAAUUGUAUUAAAAAUAAUUGUCUUAAAAGUAAAGAUUGUCUUCAUUGAGAAAGUUUCAUUUUAUUAUAAAGGCAACUAAAGGGCAAGCUUAUUUAGAAAGAGAAGUUAAAAGUAUAAUUUUUCAGUACCACUUAAAAUGUGCUUAAUAUUUAUUUAAUAUUUUGUCAUAGGAAAGGAGUGAAAAAAUAAAAGGGCUUCCAUCAUAAUCAUGUGUACAUUUAAUUUGGUUAAAUCUAGCAAGGGAGAUAAUUCAAGGGAGAUAAUUCUGGAGAUAUAAAGAAAUUGAAAACUAUUAUUAUAAAGUUAUUUUUAACAAUCAGUAAAAUGGUUAUCAGAGAGUUUAAUAAGUUUAUUAUAUUUUACUACAAAGUAAAACAGUUUCAAAACAUUUAAAUUGAGUAAACAUCUGUUGUUAGUGUAUGCUAUGAUAUUAUGAAAAAAGAUGUUGAUAUUUUGUUUGUGAUAAAUGUCAUAAAAAGAGAGAGAUAAUGUUUUCCUUUUGAAAUGUUUGGAAAUCAUGUAUCUUAUUCAAGCUUUGUGAUAAGGUCAAUAAAGGCAAAUUAAAAUUUAAAUAGGCACAUGAUUUAUUCAUAUGAAAAUAUCUUGUGGCCAUUAUUUCUGGAAUAUUUGAUUUUUUUUUUAAAUUUUACAACAUACAUUGGUAAUGCUUACUUAAUAAUAUAAGUUUUUAAGUUAAGUAUAAAUUUGAGUGCACAACAUCAUGCAAAUUUCCAAUAAUACUAGGAAACAGAAUUUUUCAAAAUCACAAAAUCAAGUAUUGAUAAAGGUGCAUUUCCACCUGAACACGAAAAUUGGU